Molecule: ribosomal RNA, 171 nt
Filed under: uncultured soil bacterium
Lineage: Bacteria
Description: partial 16S ribosomal RNA
Rfam family: Bacterial small subunit ribosomal RNA
Source: RNAcentral
GGACGAACGCUGGCGGCGUGCUUAACACAUGCAAGUCGAGCGGUAAGGCCUUUCGGGGUACACGAGCGGCGAACGGGUGAGUAACACGUGGGUGAUCUGCCCUGCACUCUGGGAUAAGCCUGGGAAACUGGGUCUAAUACCGGAUAUGACCUGCUCUCGCAGUGGGGGUGG